RNAcentral lists this ribosomal RNA (616 nucleotides) under Nanna flavipes. Its description in RNAcentral is "partial 12S ribosomal RNA". The record is from RNAcentral. Lineage: Eukaryota; Metazoa; Arthropoda; Insecta; Diptera; Scathophagidae.
AAAAUAUUUCAAUUUUCUUUCACAAUACUAUUAUACUAUAAUUAAAAUUAUUUUUUCUUUAAUAAAUACUAAAACAAAUCUCUAUAUAAUUAUUUUUAAUAAAUUAAAUUAUAAAAACAUAAAAAUAAUAAAUAAAAUAUAAUCAAUUUAUAUUGAUUUGCACAAAAUUCUUUUCAAUGUAAAUGAAAUACUUUACUUAAUAAGCUUUAAACUGCAUUCUAGAUACACUUUCCAGUACAUCUACUAUGUUACGACUUAUCUUACUUUAAUAAUAAGAGUGACGGGCGAUGUGUACAUAUUUUAGAGCUAAAAUCAAAUUAUUAAUCUUUAUAAUUUUACUAUCAAAUCCACUUUCAAUAAAUAUUUCAAAUUUAAAUUCAUAUAAAUAAAUUUAUUGUAACCCAUUUUUACUUAAAUAUAAGCUACACCUUGAUCUGAUAUAUUUUCUUUUAUAAAAUUAUGAAAAUUAACAUUCUUAUAAAAUAUUCUAAUAACGACGGUAUAUAAACUGAUUACAAAUUUAAGUAAGGUCCAUCGUGGAUUAUCGAUUAUAAAACAGGUUCCUCUGAAUAGACUAAAAUACCGCCAAAUUUUUUAAGUUUCAAGAACAUAACUA